GUGCCAGCAGCCGCGGUAAUACGUAGGGUGCAAGCGUUAAUCGGAAUUACUGGGCGUAAAGCGUGCGCAGGCGGUUUUGUAAGUCUGUCGUGAAAGCCCCGGGCUCAACCUGGGAAUUGCGAUGGAGACUGCAAGGCUUGAAUCUGGCAGAGGGGGGUAGAAUUCCACGUGUAGCAGUGAAAUGCGUAGAGAUGUGGAGGAACACCGAUGGCGAAGGCAGCCCCCUGGGUCAAGAUUGACGCUCAUGCACGAAAGCGUGGGGAGCAA
Molecule: ribosomal RNA, 267 nt
Filed under: uncultured Burkholderiales bacterium
Lineage: Bacteria; Pseudomonadati; Pseudomonadota; Betaproteobacteria; Burkholderiales
Description: partial 16S ribosomal RNA
Rfam family: Bacterial small subunit ribosomal RNA
Source: RNAcentral